CCUACGGGAGGCAGCAGUGAGGAAUAUUGGUCAAUGGACGAGAGUCUGAACCAGCCAAGUAGCGUGCAGGAUGACUGCCCUAUGGGUUGUAAACUUCUUUUAUACAGGAAUAAAACGAGGCACGUGUGCCUUUUUGCAUGUACUUUAUGAAUAAGGAUCGGCUAACUCCGUGCCAGCAGCCGCGGUAAUACGGAGGAUCCGAGCGUUAUCCGGAUUUAUUGGGUUUAAAGGGAGCGUAGAUGGGUUGUUAAGUCAGUUGUGAAAUGUUGGGGCUCAACCGUAAAAUUGCAAUUGAUACUGGCAGUCUAGAGAACAGUUGAGGUAGGCGGAAUGCGUGGUGUAGCGGUGAAAUGCUUAGAUAUCACGAAGAACCCCGAUUGCGAAGGCAGCUUACUAAACUGUGACUGACGUUGAUGCACGAAAGUGUGGGUAUCAAACAGGAUUAGAUACCCGGGUAGUC
RNAcentral lists this ribosomal RNA (460 nucleotides) under uncultured bacterium. Its description in RNAcentral is "partial 16S ribosomal RNA". It matches the Rfam family "Bacterial small subunit ribosomal RNA", at positions 338 to 795 of the family's 1533-position model. The record is from RNAcentral.